This 1296-nucleotide ribosomal RNA is filed under the name metagenome. Its description in RNAcentral is "bacterial LSU rRNA". It matches the Rfam family "Bacterial large subunit ribosomal RNA", at positions 1634 to 2925 of the family's 2925-position model. The record is from RNAcentral.
CCAUACGACCGUACCGCAAACCGACACUGGUGCGCGAGAUGAGUAUUCUAAGGCGCUUGAGAGAACUCAGGAGAAGGAACUCGGCAAAUUGACACCGUAACUUCGGAAGAAGGUGUGCCCUAUUAGUGUGAAGUGAACAACGGAGCAUGAAUGGGUUGCAAAAAAUCGGUGGCUGCGACUGUUUAUUAAAAACACAGCACUCUGCAAACACGAAAGUGGACGUAUAGGGUGUGACGCCUGCCCGGUGCUGGAAGAUUAAAUGAUGGGGUGCAAGCUCUUGAUUGAAGUCCCAGUAAACGGCGGCCGUAACUAUAACGGUCCUAAGGUAGCGAAAUUCCUUGUCGGGUAAGUUCCGACCUGCACGAAUGGCGUAACGAUGGCCACACUGUCUCCUCCUGAGACUCAGCGAAGUUGAAAUGUUUGUGAUGAUGCAAUCUCCCCGCGGAAAGACGGAAAGACCCCAUGAACCUUUACUGUAGCUUUGUAUUGGACUUUGAACAGAUCUGUGUAGGAUAGGUGGGAGGCUUUGAAGCAGGGUCGCUAGAUCUUGUGGAGCCAACGUUGAAAUACCACCCUGGUGUGUUUGAGGUUCUAACCUAGGUCCAUUAUCUGGAUCGGGGACAGUGCAUGGUAGGCAGUUUGACUGGGGCGGUCUCCUCCCAAAGCGUAACGGAGGAGUUCGAAGGUACGCUAGUUACGGUCGGACAUCGUGACGAUAGUGCAAUGGCAUAAGCGUGCUUAACUGCGAGACUGACAAGUCGAGCAGAUGCGAAAGCAGGACAUAGUGAUCCGGUGGUUCUGUAUGGAAGGGCCAUCGCUCAACGGAUAAAAGGUACUCUGGGAUAACAGGCUGAUACCGCCCAAGAGUUCAUAUCGACGGCGGUGUUUGGCACCUCGAUGUCGGCUCAUCUCAUCCUGGGGCUGUAGCCGGUCCCAAGGGUAUGGCUGUUCGCCAUUUAAAGAGGUACGUGAGCUGGGUUUAAAACGUCGUGAGACAGUUUGGUCCCUAUCUUCCGUGGGCGCUGCAGAUUUGAGGAAGCCUGCUCCUAGUACGAGGGGAUCGGAGUGGACACACCUCUGGUGUAUCGGUUGUCACGCCAGUGGCAUUGCCGAGUAGCUAAGUGUGGAAGAGAUAACCGCUGAAAGCAUCUAAGCGGGAAACUCGUUUCAAGAUGAGAUCUGCCGGGGCCUUGAGCCCCCUGAAGAGUCGUUCAAGACCAGGACGUUGAUAGGUCAGGUGUGGAAGCGCAGUAAUGCGUUAAGCUAACUGAUACUAAUUGCUCGUGCGGCUUGACC